AAGCAUCUUUCUUUUUCCUUGUUCAUUCGUCAAUCAUAGUGAGCAUUGAUUAUUAUUAUUAUGUUCAUUGGUUCGUAGGUUGUUUGUCAGAUUAUCCACUCUAGACUGAGAGACCAUGUAAGUGACGGUGGUGGUUUCAUCAUUCCUAUAUAUAACCCCACCUUUGCAACUCUAGUUCAAGGAGGUAAGAACUAUCUACAGGCCUGCUUGGCUUGUCGAUCAUCGUUCCACUCUGCUACCGUGAGCUCUUCGAUUUAUCUUUGAUCAUAUGGCGCUAGCGCGGCAACAUCAAAUGAACUUUACUAGCACUCGCUCAAUGGUUGUAUCAAAUCAUGGCCAUCAUCAACUGAACAGUCUUGGUGGCCGAAUAGCCUUUUCACAUUCAUCUUCAGUCAUUGCCUGGUAGUUGCUUUGCGAUGGAGAGUCGAAUGUGAGUUUAAUCGAAUGUGAGUUCUUUUUGUGUAGCAGCUUGGCCAGGAUCGUGAACAUCGACGAGAUCGGUAGUUCACGUAAUGGUAGUAAAAUUAGUAAUAUGGCAAUAAAACUGACAUUUAUGCAUUAUCAAUGAAUCUUAAUUAAUGUGU
Molecule: small RNA, 584 nt
Filed under: Cryptococcus neoformans H99
Lineage: Eukaryota; Fungi; Basidiomycota; Tremellomycetes; Tremellales; Cryptococcaceae
Description: Cryptococcus neoformans var. grubii H99 hypothetical RNA
Source: RNAcentral